ACUCCUACGGGAGGCAGCAGUGGGGAAUUGUUCACAAUGGGCGCAAGCCUGACGACGCAACGCCGCGUGGAGGAUGAAGAUUUUCGGAUCGUAAACUCCUGUCGAAUGGGACGAAAGAGUUGCGGGUUAACAGCCCGUGACUGUGACGGUACCGUUAAAGGAAACCCCGGCUAACUCCGUGCCAGCAGCCGCGGUAAUACGGGGGGGGUAAGCGUUGUUCGGAAUUACUGGGCGUAAAGGGCUCGUAGGCGGCCAACUAAGUCGGACGUGAAAUCCCUCAGCUUAACUGGGGAACUGCGUCUGAUACUGGAUGGCUUGGAUUUGGGAGAGGAAUGCGGAAUUCCAGGUGUAGCGGUGAAAUGCGUAGAUAUCUGGAGGAACACCGGUGGCGAAGGCGGCAUUCUGGACCAAUAUUGACGCUGAGGAGCGAAAGCCAGGGGAGCAAACGGGAUUAGAUACCCCGGUAGUCCUGGCCCUAAACGAUGAAUGCUUGGUGUGGCGGGUAUCGAUCCCUGCCGUGCCGAAGCUAACGCAUUAAGCAUUCCGCCUGGGGAG
This 555-nucleotide ribosomal RNA is filed under the name uncultured bacterium. RNAcentral describes it as "bacterial SSU rRNA". It matches the Rfam family "Bacterial small subunit ribosomal RNA", at positions 335 to 880 of the family's 1533-position model. The record is from RNAcentral.